UACGUAGGGGGCGAGCGUUGUCCGGAGUUACUGGGCGUAAAGGGCACGCAGGCGGUGCGGCGCGUUUCGCGUGACAGCGGAGGGCUUAACUCUCCGAGGAUGCGAAAGACGGCGGGACUUGAGGGCCAGAGAGGGACACGGAAUUCCGGGUGGAGUGGUGAAAUGCGUAGAGAUCCGGAGGAACACCGAAGGCGAAGGCAGUGUCCUGGCUGGUGACUGACGCUGAGGUGCGAAAGCUAGGGGAGCGAACGGG
Molecule: ribosomal RNA, 253 nt
Filed under: uncultured bacterium
Lineage: Bacteria
Description: partial 16S ribosomal RNA
Rfam family: Bacterial small subunit ribosomal RNA
Source: RNAcentral